AGCGGCGGUACGGCCAGCUCCCCAUUCACUUCCCCAGGGCCGGAAGGCAGCAAGGAUAAUGGGUUGUAGCGGCGCGAUACCGCCUUUUUU
RNAcentral lists this signal recognition particle RNA (90 nucleotides) under Flavobacteriaceae bacterium. RNAcentral describes it as "signal recognition particle sRNA small type". The stretch from base 6 to 82 matches the Rfam family "Bacteroidales small SRP", at positions 17 to 92 of the family's 107-position model. Rfam says of the family: The non-coding component of the signal recognition particle in Bacteroides RNAcentral also lists the same sequence under 1 other name. Lineage: Bacteria; Pseudomonadati; Bacteroidota; Flavobacteriia; Flavobacteriales; Flavobacteriaceae. The record is from RNAcentral.